CAGUCGCCGCGGUAAUACGUUGGUCCCGAGCGUUGUCCGGAUUUAUUGGGCGUAAAGCGAGCGCAGGCGGUUAGAUAAGUCUGAAGUUAAAGGCUGUGGCUUAACCAUAGUACGCUUUGGAAACUGUUUAACUUGAGUGCAAGAGGGGAGAGUGGGAUUCCAUGUGUAGCGGUGAAAUGCGUAGAUAUAUGGAGGAACACCGGUGGCGAAAGCGGCUCUCUGGCUUGUAACUGACGCUGAGGCUCGAAAGCGUGGGGAGCAAGCAGGAUUAGAUACCCCCGUAGUCCCUGUCUCUUAUACA
RNAcentral lists this ribosomal RNA (301 nucleotides) under uncultured bacterium. RNAcentral describes it as "partial 16S ribosomal RNA". It matches the Rfam family "Bacterial small subunit ribosomal RNA", at positions 509 to 808 of the family's 1533-position model. The record is from RNAcentral.